AAUCAAUAGCAAGAUUCAGCAACUUUACUUUCAUGAACUUUUUAGAGGACCACAAAAAAGUGAUGAUCAUGAAAGAGGAUGAUGCAUUAGGAGAAAGCUACUCCAAAUUACUACUUUUUCCCUAGGCUUUUCAAAUCUUCGAAAAAAGCAUAAGUACAAUACUAUACACAAGCUUUAACUAUCCACUAAGGACAGGACUGACCAAGCUCUUUUUCAUAUGGGCUUAAUUGACCAACCUUGACUGACUAAUCUUCAAGAUUUCCAUACUACUCUCUGAAGUGCUUCUCUAAUUGUUCCGACUGCUAGUGUUUUCGAUCCGGUUGA
This 324-nucleotide unclassified non-coding RNA is filed under the name Hevea brasiliensis (rubber tree). The record is from RNAcentral. Lineage: Eukaryota; Viridiplantae; Streptophyta; Magnoliopsida; Malpighiales; Euphorbiaceae.